Molecule: ribosomal RNA, 245 nt
Filed under: uncultured bacterium
Lineage: Bacteria
Description: partial 16S ribosomal RNA
Rfam family: Bacterial small subunit ribosomal RNA
Source: RNAcentral
UACGAACUGUGCGAACGUUAUUCGGAAUCACUGGGCUUACAGGGUGCGUAGGUGGCGGGGAAAGUAGGGUGUGAAAUGCCUUGGCUCAACCAAGGCACAGCGCUCUAAACUACCUCGCUCGAGUGAGUCAGGGGUCUGCGGAACUUCCGGUGGAGCGGUGAAAUGUGUUGAUAUCGGAAGGAACACCGGUGGCGAAAGCGGCAGACUGGGGCUCAACUGACACUGAGGCACGAAAGCCAGGGGAG